AGAGUUUGAUCCUGGCUCAGGACGAACGCUGGCGGCGUGCCUAAUACAUGCAAGUCGAACGAGAAUUUCUUACACCGAGUGCUUGCACUCACCGUAAGAAAUUCGAGUGGCGGACGGGUGAGUAACACGUGGGUAACCUGCCCAAAAGAAGGGGAUAACAUUUGGAAACAAAUGCUAAUACCGUAUAACCAUGAUGACCGCAUGGUCAUUAUGUAAAAGGUGGUUCUGCUAUCGCUUUUGGAUGGACCCGCGGCGUAUUAACUAGUUGGUAGGGUAACGGCCUACCAAGGUGAUGAUACGUAGCCGAGUUGAGAGACUGAUCGGCCACAAUGGGACUGAGACACGGCCCAUACUCCUACGGGAGGCAGCAGUAGGGAAUCUUCCACAAUGGGCGCAAGCCUGAUGGAGCAACGCCGCGUGAAUGAAGAAGGUCUUCGGAUCGUAAAAUUCUGUUGUUAGAGAAGAAUAUGAGUAGUAGUAACUGAUUAUUCACUGACGGUAUCUAACCAGCAAGUCACGGCUAACUACGUGCCAGCAGCCGCGGUAAUACGUAGGUGGCAAGCGUUGUCCGGAUUUAUUGGGUGUAAAGGGAACGCAGGCGGUUUUUUAAGUCUGAUGUGAAAGCCUUCGGCUUAACCGGAGAUGUGCAUUGGAAACUGGAAGACUUGAGUGCAGAAGAGGAGAGUGGAACUCCAUGUGUAGCGGUGAAAUGCGUAGAUAUAUGGAAGAACACCAGUGGCGAAAGCGGCUCUCUGGUCUGUAACUGACGCUGAGGUUCGAAAGCAUGGGUAGCGAACAGGAUUAGAUACCCUGGUAGUCC
This 820-nucleotide ribosomal RNA is filed under the name uncultured bacterium. RNAcentral's name for it is "bacterial SSU rRNA". It matches the Rfam family "Bacterial small subunit ribosomal RNA", at positions 8 to 796 of the family's 1533-position model. The record is from RNAcentral.